GGACAGGUAGCGAAGCGGCCAAACGCUGCUGACUGUAAAUCAGCCACCUUCUGGUUUCGGCGGUUCGAAUCCGUCCCUGUCCACCA
RNAcentral lists this transfer RNA (86 nucleotides) under bacterium. Its description in RNAcentral is "tRNA-Tyr". It matches the Rfam family "tRNA". From Rfam's summary of the family: Transfer RNA (tRNA) molecules are approximately 80 nucleotides in length. Their secondary structure includes four short double-helical elements and three loops (D, anti-codon, and T loops). The record is from RNAcentral.